RNAcentral lists this ribosomal RNA (117 nucleotides) under Elusimicrobia bacterium RIFCSPLOWO2_01_FULL_59_12. Lineage: Bacteria; Pseudomonadati; Elusimicrobiota. The record is from RNAcentral.
CCCGGUGGUUUUUCCGGUGGGGCCACACCCGAUCCCAUUCCGAACUCGGUAGUUAAGCCCACCAGGGCCGAUGGUACUGAUCUCGCAAGGGAUCGGGAGAGUAGGUCGCUGCCGGGG